AUGAUGCUAGCUUUAUGUUUUGUGAAUUUAUUAGGCAAUCGAGGAAUUGGAAUUCUGCCAAGAAAUCUAGGAGCAGAAGAAGAUGUAUGCAAGGGACUUGGAGACGAGGCAAUGGUUUUGAAGCUUUGGGAGCCUGCGACUGGCUCGACAGGUGGCAUCAGCAAGCGCCGGCCGGCCUCGGCACUGCUGUGGGUGGUUAUAUGGUGGGUGGAGCACACCAUUGGGAUUCGACAUCAGGGAACAGAGCAGUCACAAGGAGCUGCAAUGAUAUGUGUACAUGUAACAGUUGUCCAAGCUCUGGAACUUUUUCAGAAAUCAUUGCUCAAACUGUAUGGUCAUCCAGAUGAGGAUGUUGCAAAGGCUAACUGGAAAUACAUCUUCGCAGAAACUUUACAGUCAUCCAGAUGUUGGUUUUGCAACCCCUAA
RNAcentral lists this ribosomal RNA (426 nucleotides) under Triticum aestivum (bread wheat). RNAcentral's name for it is "partial small subunit ribosomal RNA". The record is from RNAcentral. Lineage: Eukaryota; Viridiplantae; Streptophyta; Magnoliopsida; Poales; Poaceae.